UACGAAGGGGGCGAGCGUUGUUCGGAAUACUGGGCGUAAAGCGUGCGCAGGCGGUUUUGUAAGUUUGUCGUGAAAGCCCCGGGCUCAACCUGGGAAUUGCGAUGAAGACUGCAAGGCUUGAAUCUGGCAGAGGGGGGUAGAAUUCCACGUGUAGCAGGUGAAAUGCGUAGAGAUGUGGAGGAACACCGAUGGCGAAGGCAGCCCCCUGGGUCAAGAUUGACGCUCGAUGCACGAAAGCGUGGGGAGCAAACAGG
Molecule: ribosomal RNA, 254 nt
Filed under: uncultured bacterium
Lineage: Bacteria
Description: partial 16S ribosomal RNA
Rfam family: Bacterial small subunit ribosomal RNA
Source: RNAcentral